Molecule: ribosomal RNA, 256 nt
Filed under: uncultured bacterium
Lineage: Bacteria
Description: partial small subunit ribosomal RNA
Rfam family: Bacterial small subunit ribosomal RNA
Source: RNAcentral
AGGACGAACGCUGGCGGCGUGCUUAACACAUGCAAGUCGAGCGGAAAGGCCCUUCGGGGUACUCGAGCGGCGAACGGGUGAGUAACACGUGAGUAACCUGCCCUCCACUCUGGGAUAAGCCCGGGAAACUGGGUCUAAUACCGGAUAUGACUCCUCGUCUCAUGGCGGUGGGUGGAAAGUUUUUUUCGGUGGGGGAUGGACUCGCGGCCUAUCAGCUUGUUGGUGAGGUAAUGGCUUACCAAGGCGACGACGGGUA